This 429-nucleotide ribosomal RNA is filed under the name uncultured bacterium. RNAcentral's name for it is "partial 16S ribosomal RNA". It matches the Rfam family "Bacterial small subunit ribosomal RNA", at positions 355 to 799 of the family's 1533-position model. The record is from RNAcentral.
UGGGGAAUAUUGCACAAUGGGCGGAAGCCUGAUGCAGCAACGCCGCGUGAGUGAUGAAGGCCUUCGGGUUGUAAAGCUCUGUCUUUUGGGACGAUAAUGACGGUACCAAAGGAGGAAGCCACGGCUAACCUACGUGCCAGCAGCCGCGGUAAUACGUAGGUGGCAAGCGUUUGUCCGGAUUUACUGGGCGUAAAGGAUGCGUAGGCGGAUUUUUAAGUGAGAUGUGAAAUACCCGGGCUUAACUUGGGUGCUGCAUUUCAAACUGGGAAUCUAGAGUGCGGGAGAGGAGAAUGGAAUUCCUAGUGUAGCGGUGAAAUGCGUAGAGAUUAGGAAGAACACCAGUGGCGAAGGCGAUUCUCUGGACCGUAACUGACGCUGAGGCAUGAAAGCGUGGGUAGCAAACAGGAUUAGAUACCCUGGUAGUCCACG